Molecule: long non-coding RNA, 553 nt
Filed under: Hordeum vulgare
Lineage: Eukaryota; Viridiplantae; Streptophyta; Magnoliopsida; Poales; Poaceae
Description: long non-coding RNA (HVUL_LNC005420)
Source: RNAcentral
AAAACCCUAAACGAGAGGGUAUUGCAGCAUCGGGGGCCGCCACAUGGUUAAGCACGGCCGUGGCGGCGUCGGCCCUUGUUCACGAGAGCUGCCAACGUCGGCCUUUGUGCUGGCCACGCGACGGAGCCCAAACAAAUACUGCUUUUGCGUUGUGUCCGCAGCUCGAUCUUUCCAGUCGGUUAUACCGGAAUUCUCCACCCGCCUACGCGACUGACGUGCAGCGGCCAUAUUCUAACAUCCGACGAUGCGAGCACUAGAGCGCAGCUCGCUUUGCUUUCCCCACAGUCUCAUUUUCGGGAAAAAGGAGCGCACACGAUCGGCGCCACCCUCCCCGCCCUAUAAAUCCGGCAAUGCUCGAAGCAGCCCCCAAGCAGCUCCGCAGCGAUCGUCGCGAGCUCCAGCGGUCGCCAUUCCCGGACGCCGGAAGCCCUCUCUCGGGAUGGCGGCGGGCACUCGGGGCGCCGUCUUCCUCGCCUGCUUCCGCGGCGGCGGCGCCGAGGGGAGCGGCCACCGCCUCGCGCUGCGGCCGCGGUACCCGCCCAUGCCGNNNNNN